RNAcentral lists this ribosomal RNA (244 nucleotides) under uncultured bacterium. RNAcentral's name for it is "partial 16S ribosomal RNA". It matches the Rfam family "Bacterial small subunit ribosomal RNA", at positions 91 to 334 of the family's 1533-position model. The record is from RNAcentral.
GCGACCGGCGCACGGGUGAGUAACGCGUAUGCAACUUACCUAUCAGAGGGGGAUAGCCCGGCGAAAGUCGGAUUAAUACCCCAUAAAACAGGGGUCCCGCAUGGGAAUAUUUGUUAAAGAUUCAUCGCUGAUAGAUAGGCAUGCGUUUCAUUAGGCAGUUGGCGGGGUAACGGCCCACCAAACCGACGAUGGAUAGGGGUUCUGAGAGGAAGGUCCCCCACAUUGGUACUGAGACACGGACCAA